AGCGAACGCUGGCGGCAGGCCUAACACAUGCAAGUCGAACGGAUCCUUCGGGAUUAGUGGCGGACGGGUGAGGAACACGUGGGAACGUGCCCUUUGGUUCGGAACAACUCAGGGAAACUUGAGCUAAUACCGGAUGUGCCCUUCGGGGGAAAGAUUUAUCGCCAUUGGAGCGGCCCGCGUCUGAUUAGCUAGUUGGUGAGGUAACGGCCCACCAAGGCGACGAUCAGUAGCUGGUCUGAGAGGAUGAUCAGCAACACUGGGACUGAGACACGGCCCAGACUCCUACGGGAGGCAGCAGUGGGGAAUCUUGCGCAAUGGGCGAAAGCCUGACGCAGCCAUGCCGCGUGAAUGAUGAAGGUCUUAGGAUUGUAAAAUUCUUUCAGCGGGGACGAUAAUGACGGUACCCGCAGAAGAAGCUCCGGCUAACUUCGUG
RNAcentral lists this ribosomal RNA (433 nucleotides) under uncultured bacterium. Its description in RNAcentral is "partial 16S ribosomal RNA". It matches the Rfam family "Bacterial small subunit ribosomal RNA", at positions 29 to 507 of the family's 1533-position model. The record is from RNAcentral.